GUGAACGCUGGCGGUAGGCCUAACACAUGCAAGUCGAACGGCAGCACAGUAAGAGCUUGCUCUUACGGGUGGCGAGUGGCGGACGGGUGAGGAAUACAUCGGAAUCUACUUUUUCGUGGGGGAUAACGUAGGGAAACUUACGCUAAUACCGCAUACGACCUACGGGUGAAAGCAGGGGAUCUUCGGACCUUGCGCGAUUGAAUGAGCCGAUGUCGGAUUAGCUAGUUGGCGGGGUAAAGGCCCACCAAGGCGACGAUCCGUAGCUGGUCUGAGAGGAUGAUCAGCCACACUGGAACUGAGACACGGUCCAGACUCCUACGGGAGGCAGCAGUGGGGAAUAUUGGACAAUGGGCGCAAGCCUGAUCCAGCCAUACCGCGUGGGUGAAGAAGGCCUUCGGGUUGUAAAGCCCUUUUGUUGGGAAAGAAAAGCAGCAGGUUAAUACCCCGCUGUUCUGACGGUACCAAAAGAAUAAGCACCGGCUAACUUCGUG
RNAcentral lists this ribosomal RNA (491 nucleotides) under uncultured bacterium. RNAcentral describes it as "partial 16S ribosomal RNA". It matches the Rfam family "Bacterial small subunit ribosomal RNA", at positions 29 to 507 of the family's 1533-position model. The record is from RNAcentral.